CCUACGGGAGGCUGCAGUGGGGAAUAUUGGGCAAUGGGCGCAAGCCUGACCCAGCAACGCCGCGUGAAGGAAGAAGGCUUUCGGGUUGUAAACUUCUUUUCUCAGGGACGAAGUAAGUGACGGUACCUGAGGAAUAAGCCACGGCUAACUACGUGCCAGAAGCCGCGGUAAUACGUAGGUGGCAAGCGUUAUCCGGAUUUACUGGGUGUAAAGGGCGUGUAGGCGGGACUGCAAGUCAGAUGUGAAAACGACGGGCUCAAACUGUGGCCUGCAUUUGAAACUGUAGUUCUUGAGUACUGGAGAGGCAGACGGAAUACCUAGUGUAGCGGUGAAAUGCGUAGAUAUGAGGAGGAACACCAGUGGCGAAGGCGGUCUGCUGGACAGCAACUGACGCUGAGGCGCGAGAGCGUGGGGAGCAAACAGGAUUAGAUACCCUUGUAGUC
RNAcentral lists this ribosomal RNA (443 nucleotides) under uncultured bacterium. RNAcentral describes it as "partial 16S ribosomal RNA". It matches the Rfam family "Bacterial small subunit ribosomal RNA", at positions 338 to 795 of the family's 1533-position model. The record is from RNAcentral.